CAGUAGCCGCGGGAAUACGUAGGGUGCAAGCGUUAAUCGGAAUUACUGGGCGUAAAGCGUGCGCAGGCGGUUCGCUAGACAGAUGUGAAAUCCCCGGGCUUAACCUGGGAACUGCAUUUGUGACUGGCGGGCUAGAGUAUGGCAGAGGGGGGUAGAAUUCCACGUGUAGCAGUGAAAUGCGUAGAGAUGUGGAGGAAUACCGAUGGCGAAGGCAGCCCCCUGGGCCAAUACUGACGCUCAUGCACGAAAGCGUGGGGAGCAAACAGGAUUAGAGACCCCUGUAGUCCCUGUCUCUUAUACA
RNAcentral lists this ribosomal RNA (301 nucleotides) under uncultured bacterium. Its description in RNAcentral is "partial 16S ribosomal RNA". It matches the Rfam family "Bacterial small subunit ribosomal RNA", at positions 509 to 808 of the family's 1533-position model. The record is from RNAcentral.